This 465-nucleotide ribosomal RNA is filed under the name uncultured bacterium. RNAcentral describes it as "partial 16S ribosomal RNA". It matches the Rfam family "Bacterial small subunit ribosomal RNA", at positions 338 to 795 of the family's 1533-position model. The record is from RNAcentral.
CCUACGGGUGGCAGCAAUAGGGAAUCUUCCACAAUGGGCGAAAGCCUGAUGGAGCAACGCCGCGUGGGUGAAGAAGGUCUUCGGAUCGUAAAAACCUGUUGUUAGAGAAGAAAGUGCGUGAGAGUAACUGUUCACGUUUCGACGGCAUCUAACCAGAAAGCCAAGGCUAACUACGUGUCAGCAGCUGCGGUAAUACGGAGGUGGCAAGCGUUAUCCGGAUUUAUUGGGCGUAAAGGGAACGCAGGCGGUCUUGUAAGUCUGAUGUGAAAGCCUUCGGCUUAACCGGAGUAGUGCAUUGGAAACUGGGAGACUUGAGUACAGGAGAGGAGAGUGGAACUCCAGGUGUAGCGGUGAAAUGCGUAGAGAUAUAGAAGAACACCAGUGGCGAAGGCGGCUCUCUAGUCUGUAACUGACGCUGAGGUUCGAAAGCGUGGGUAGCAAACAGGAUUAGAUACCCGAGUAGUC